Molecule: non-coding RNA, 199 nt
Filed under: Prevotella sp.
Lineage: Bacteria; Pseudomonadati; Bacteroidota; Bacteroidia; Bacteroidales; Prevotellaceae
Source: RNAcentral
UGCAGCCGAAAGCAACAGGGUGACGCCCCUCGAAAGGCGUCUUAAAAGGGAACGGGGUUAGAAGCCCCGGCAGACCCGCUGCCGUAAGUCUCACACCAAAAAGGUCGUUGCGACCUGAGCGCCACUGUCGACAUCAGAUGGGAAGGCCUCGCACCGACAGGAGACGAGCCGGAAGACCUGCCCGUUGCCGACAACCCGC